CCUACGGGCGGCAGCAGUGAGGAAUAUUCGACAAUGGACGAGAGUCUGAACCAGCCACGUAGCGUGAAGGAUGACUGCUCUAUGGGCUGUAAACUUCUUUUAUAUGGGAAUAAAAUGUUCCACGUGUGGGAUUUUGUAUGUACCAUAUGAAUUAGGAUCGGCUAAGUUCGUGCCAGCAGCCGCGGUAAUAUGGAGGAUCCGAGCGUUAGCCGGAUUUAUUGGGUUUAAAGGGAGCGUAGGUGGAUUGUUAAGUCAGUUGUGAAAGUUUGCGGCUCAACCGGAAAAUUGCAGUUGAUACUGGCAGUCUUGAGUACAGUAGAGGUGGGCGGAAUUCGUGGUGUAGCGGUGGAAUGCUUAGAUAUCACGAAGAACUCCGAUUGCGAAGGCAGUUCACUGGUCUGCAACUGACACUGAGGCUCGAAAGUGUGGGUAUCAAACAGGAUUAGAUACCCCUGUAGUC
This 460-nucleotide ribosomal RNA is filed under the name uncultured bacterium. RNAcentral describes it as "partial 16S ribosomal RNA". It matches the Rfam family "Bacterial small subunit ribosomal RNA", at positions 338 to 795 of the family's 1533-position model. The record is from RNAcentral.